CAUGUCCAUCAUGAACUCCUUCAUCAACGACAUCUUCGAGAAGCUCGCCGGCGAGUCCGCCAAGCUCGCGAGGUACAACAAGAAGCCCACCAUCACGUCCCGCGAGAUCCAGACCUCCGUCCGCCUCGUCCUCCCCGGCGAGCUCGCCAAGCAUGCCGUCUCCGAGGGCACCAAGGCCGUCACCAAGUUCACCUCGUCCUAGGCUCCUCGUGCGUUGAGUCUUGUGUUUCUUUCUUCUUCCUCGUCUGAGGAACUCUGUAGGUAGCUGUGUGUUUUCUGACAGUGUCAUGUUGUAACAAUGGUGCUGCUGAAUAAAUAGUCAUGUUGCUGCUUGAAUGGAUGACUGUCGCCUUG
Molecule: long non-coding RNA, 354 nt
Filed under: Triticum aestivum (bread wheat)
Lineage: Eukaryota; Viridiplantae; Streptophyta; Magnoliopsida; Poales; Poaceae
Description: long non-coding RNA (TAES_LNC018796)
Source: RNAcentral